UCCUGUUUUCCUGGUUCUCACAGAGAGAUAGACCACUCAAAAGCAGUGACUUCCCAUUAAGUCCUGGUCAUGAUGGUCGUCCGUGCUGCUGCGCUGCUCCUCGGAUUGGUGGUGUCGUGUAGUUCGGACUUCGCUCCUCCCACAAUUAGCAUAAACCUGGACGAUCCUGCAACAGCGCGAUGGGAGCCAAUUCUGACAGUAUUUGACGCAGACUAUCUGAAGAGAGCAGCUGCAGAGGUCAUAGACUCAUCUAUUCCGAAAUGGCUUCACUAUGUUCUCAAGCCUCUUGUAAAGACCUCAGAAAUGUUUAUUCUUCCUGAGCCAUACGGGGAGGAGCUUCGCGGCUUGGCAGCCCACUUUGACGGAAGCCUCUCAGAUGUCAUCAUGCUCAACUUUGCCUACGAAGUAUCUGCAUAUUGCACAAGCAUUGUUGCUCAGGACACAGACGGAAAUCUGUUCCAUGGCAGGAAUCUUGACUACCCACACUCACCAAUUCUGAGGAAUCUAACCAUCAAUGUAGACUUCCUGAAGGACGGAAAGGUGGCGUACAGUGGAACGUCCUUUGCUGGCUAUGUCGGUCUGUGGACGGGACAAAGUCCAUACAAGUUCACUGUCUCUGGUGACCAGCGAGGCAAGGAUCACUGGUGGAACUUCUGGAAGAAUGUGGUGUCAGCGUUUCUGUUAGGGAGAAGCCCCGUCAGCUGGCUGAUGAGAGAGACUCUGGAAGAGGCAGAAAACUUUCAAGAUGCUGUCAUGCGUCUUGCCAAAGUCCCCAUCAUCACUGGGGUAUAUUAUAUUGUGGGCGGGGCACGGGCAGGGGAAGGAGUCGUCAUCACCAGAGAUCGAGCCAGCCCUGCAGACAUCUGGCCUUUGGAUCCACUGAAUGGACAAUGGUUCAGAGUCGAGACCAACUUUGAUCACUGGCGUCCACCCCCAGCCACGGAUCAUCGGAGAGAAGCAGCCAACAAAGCAAUGAAUGCUACAGGUCAAGGUUUUAUCAACAUGCAUACGCUUUAUCAGUAAAUGUGUUCCAUCUGGAGGACAGGAAGUGACGUUUGGGGGCUCAGUGGUGAGUUUUAGCUUGGCGUGGGUUACAGCCGUUACUGUAGUUAGUUACUAUAGUUAUAAUUAUGGUGAUUAUGUUAUUAUUACUGUGCCCGGUGUGAGAUAAUUUACUUUAAACCUACAAUAAAAGCCUGUUGUUCCAGCGGUUAAGCCUGGUGCUUGUUAUUGACACCUAGUGACCAUUGUAGAAUACUACAUUCACAAUUUGAAUGCGUCUUCUUCAUGCCUUGUAUUUGUAUUUGAGUUCAUUUAGCCACUUUAUGCUUGAAAAUUAUUAAUCUAGGCAACAAAAUACAUAUUUGCUUAAAUAUGCUUUUUUUUUUUUACUAACAGCGUGAUUUAGUCAUUUUUAUAUGUUUGGAAAACUGUGACAGAAUGAAGCCACGAAAGUGGCGAGGGACGACUGUACUCGUGAAACCAAGACCAAUUUCUGUUGUGAUCCUUUUGCAUUUGUAACUUGUGAAAUUGCCUCUCCCCAGGUUUUGUCGCUGAAUCCAGUGUGUAAUGAGUAAGGAGAACACUUGAUCAUUAUGCUCUCAUCUUGGUGACAAUACAUCUCAUGACACUUGAUGUUGCUGGGACAGCGAAUGCCAACACUGGCCCCCUUUGCGGCAUGUCCUACCCAUUUGUUUAACAGCGUAGUGCAGCUUAGAGCAAACGGCGAUGCACUGCUUUGCUUGCGUAAUCUAUUUCCCCUUUCCUUCAAAUCCUUCUUUGAUAAUAAUAAAAUGACUGCGUGCAGUAUUUGUGGUCUUAAUAUGUUGCCUUUGUAAAGCUGUAUAUUCUUUAUUUUCUUAACAUUGUUCCCAACAUUUCACAGGAUAACAGUUUAUACGACAACGAUGAGCGCAGCAACGCCUGAGGAGUAUACCACAUUUGUCAGGCCGCAGGGCUGUCAUGGGAAUCUCUGACCUGAAGUGCCGCAAGUGAUCAGCAACUAUUGGGGCUAAAAUUGAAAGUAUGCAUCCUAUGUCGACACCUGUCCUAUGGACAUAGUAUGUGUAUAUUGGCCUAUGUAGACACUUGCUUGAAUCCAAAUCACAUUUAUUUACUUUUAACAUCAGUGUGUGUGUGUGCUAUCUCAUACAUAUGACCAUCUUCAAAUGUGCCUUAAACUUGUGUAAACACUUCAGAUCUCAGACCUCCUUUGUCUUGGGCUUGGGUAAAACAAUUUGAAAUGGUUGACCCGGAAAUAAACUGCAAGCAACAAACUCCCAAGACACCUGCCUUUUUGUUGUUACUCGACAUGUGGAUGUCCUUUGUAAUUAUCAUCUGAUAUUGUUCUUUAAAACCAUCAAGAAAACACCAGCACAAUGAUAAACGGCAUUCAUUUGAUCCUGCACCCCAUCCACAAUACUGUAGUAGCUACAGUAAUAGUGAUGUAUUGAAUGUGUUAUUGACAUGAACGCAUGCUAGCAAAAAUUAAACUACUUUUA
RNA transcript from Dunckerocampus dactyliophorus (ringed pipefish), 2501 nucleotides. It is a transcript of the gene named N-acylethanolamine-hydrolyzing acid amidase-like, with no coding region annotated. The transcript is spliced from 10 exons. NCBI's taxonomy places the organism in Eukaryota, Metazoa, Chordata, Actinopteri, Syngnathiformes, Syngnathidae. The record is from RefSeq and is a predicted model, not a curated record.